ACGAUAUAAAUUAGAUUUGAUUAUCCUGUUACAAUUGUCUUUUUCAAGCAUCCACGGAGGUUCUACCGCUGUUCGGAACUGUUGGAAAAUUUACUGAAUUAAAUCUAAACUUAGAGAUGAAAUCCAUCAUUCUGAUCGUGCUGUGUGUGUGUUUGCUUGCCUCUGUCCAAGUUGCCAUGGCAGGGAAUGGUUGCUAUUGUGUGUAUCACAACGACCAGACGUGCAGUAAUUAUUGCCAGAGCGAACUCAGCUGUAGGGGCGGAUACUGUGGAUCAGGCUGGUGUGUUUGCAAGUGUGUCGGUUGUUAAAAGUAACUGGACAGAGAGAACGGAAACAAGACUACAUGUACAUGACAUAUGUCAAAUGAACUUCUAUUAAACCAUUAAACCAU
This is a long non-coding RNA of Saccostrea cuccullata (small rock oyster), 391 nucleotides long. RefSeq lists it as uncharacterized. The transcript is spliced from 4 exons. NCBI's taxonomy places the organism in Eukaryota, Metazoa, Mollusca, Bivalvia, Ostreida, Ostreidae. The record is from RefSeq and is a predicted model, not a curated record.